UUAUGCUCUCAUGUCGUGAAGGGUAUGCAAACUCGACAUGUUGGAAUUCAACUUCUCCUAAAAUGGUAUCCAAAAUAUCCCAUUCCAUAUUGUCUAAAUCUAUUUUUGGCGUUCUUUUUAUCAUUUCAUUUAUAUGCUCAGCAGCUGAACAUGAUUCAGAUAAGGGCUUCAAAUUGGAUAAACUAUCACCAAGUCGUAUUCCACCAACAACAAUGCAUGCCUACUAUGAAAAUAGUUCCACCCUGAGCUC
Hibiscus syriacus is the source of this 250-nucleotide long non-coding RNA. RefSeq lists it as uncharacterized. Lineage: Eukaryota; Viridiplantae; Streptophyta; Magnoliopsida; Malvales; Malvaceae. The record is from RefSeq and is a predicted model, not a curated record. The transcript has 3 exons.